RNAcentral lists this ribosomal RNA (839 nucleotides) under Pseudozobellia thermophila. Its description in RNAcentral is "bacterial SSU rRNA". It matches the Rfam family "Bacterial small subunit ribosomal RNA", at positions 119 to 956 of the family's 1533-position model. Lineage: Bacteria; Pseudomonadati; Bacteroidota; Flavobacteriia; Flavobacteriales; Flavobacteriaceae. The record is from RNAcentral.
AUGGAACCUGCCCCUGUCCGGGGAAUAGCCCAGAGAAAUUUGGAUUAAUGCCCCAUGGCAUCCGCUACCUGCAUGGGUAUCGGAUUAAAGAUUUAUCGGACAGGGAUGGCCAUGCGUACCAUUAGUUUGUUGGUGGGGUAACGGCCCACCAAGGCUACGAUGGUUAGGGGCCCUGAGAGGGGGAUCCCCCACACUGGUACUGAGACACGGACCAGACUCCUACGGGAGGCAGCAGUGAGGAAUAUUGGACAAUGGGCGGGAGCCUGAUCCAGCCAUGCCGCGUGCGGGAAGAAGGCCCUAUGGGUCGUAAACCGCUUUUAUACGGGAAGAAACCACCCCACGUGUGGGGUACUGACGGUACCGUAAGAAUAAGGACCGGCUAACUCCGUGCCAGCAGCCGCGGUAAUACGGAGGGUCCGAGCGUUAUCCGGAAUCAUUGGGUUUAAAGGGUCCGUAGGCGGGCCGUUAAGUCAGGGGUGAAAGUCUGCGGCUCAACCGUAGAACUGCCCUUGAUACUGGCGGUCUUGAGUCAUAUUGGAGUGGGCGGAAUAUGUAGUGUAGCGGUGAAAUGCAUAGAUAUUACAUAGAACACCGAUCGCGAAGGCAGCUCACUAAGUAUGUACUGACGCUGAUGGACGAAAGCGUGGGGAGCGAACGGGAUUAGAUACCCCGGUAGUCCACGCCGUAAACGAUGGAUACUAGCUGUCCGGGGCCUUGAGUCCUGAGCGGCCAAGCGAAAGUGAUAAGUAUCCCACCUGGGGAGUACGUUCGCAAGAAUGAAACUCAAAGGAAUUGACGGGGGCCCGCACAAGCGGUGGAGCAUGUGGUUUAAUUCGAUG